RNAcentral lists this microRNA precursor (57 nucleotides) under Canis lupus familiaris (dog). The record is from RNAcentral. Lineage: Eukaryota; Metazoa; Chordata; Mammalia; Carnivora; Canidae.
UGCCCAGGAUGGCGCUCAUUACGUAGUCAACAAGUGAUUAGCAUCUGCCUGGGCAGA